RNAcentral lists this long non-coding RNA (573 nucleotides) under Cricetulus griseus (Chinese hamster). Its description in RNAcentral is "lncRNA (ENSCGRG00015029412.1)". Lineage: Eukaryota; Metazoa; Chordata; Mammalia; Rodentia; Cricetidae. The record is from RNAcentral.
GUAGGUUCCCCACACUUUCUUUCAAAAAGAUCAACCUGGGGAUCAACCCUAGAGGUCUGAGAGAUGCAAGUAUGUGGGAAGGGUUUAAAAAAUAUGCUAAGAUGUUGUAUUCCAUGCAGUGAAUGAUUCUAGGGAACUGGGAAGAAAGUCGACCCAUCCUUCAGGCAACAGGUAUCACUGCCGAAAUCUGAAUCUUCGCUGGCCAAUGCUCCCAGGACUCAAGGCUGAAGCUGCGAUUGGAGGCUAACUUUGGGAUGAAGAGAAUAGCAUCCAGAAUAAGCAUCUCUGCCACAAUAGUGCGGGACAGUGCCAGGAUUUGAACCAGAAAGAACCCAGAGCUUUGGAUCCUAAGAGAAUUUAUUCCAGUGGAGACCACAAUAUCCAAGAAAGACCAAACCUUGAUCCAGCCCUCACUUGCUUCAUAUGUCCAGACUAUUAAGUAUCACCCUUCCUGCAGCAGGUCAACAGAAUGACCACUGUGAAUUCUAAAGCCUCCUUUCAAUGAUGUGUUGUAAACAAUGCCCAGGAGAGGCACCAAGUUCCCAACCACAUUGUAAGCAAAUAAAUAAACAC